Non-coding RNA from Stegodyphus mimosarum, 73 nucleotides. The record is from Rfam. Lineage: Eukaryota; Metazoa; Arthropoda; Arachnida; Araneae; Eresidae.
GUCUUCGUAGUGUAAUGGUCAGCACGCUCGACGGGUAUUCGAGAGGUCCGUGGUUCGAGUCCCUGCGAGAGCA